CCGAGUUUACAACUCCCAAACCCUGUGAACAUACCACUUGUUGCCUCGGCGGAUCAGCCCGCUCCCGGUAAAACGGGACGGCCCGCCAGAGGACCCCUAAACUCUGUUUCUAUAUGUAACUUCUGAGUAAAACCAUAAAUAAAUCA
This 146-nucleotide unclassified non-coding RNA is filed under the name soil metagenome. RNAcentral's name for it is "partial internal transcribed spacer 1". The record is from RNAcentral.